GAUAGAGCCACUUCGGUGGGGAUUAGUGGCGAACGGGUGAGUAACACGUGGGCAAUCUGCCCUGCACUCUGGGACAAGCCCUGGAAACGGGGUCUAAUACCGGAUACUGAUCCUCGCAGGCAUCUGCGAGGUUCGAAAGCUCCGGCGGUGCAGGAUGAGCCCGCGGCCUAUCAGCUAGUUGGUGAGGUAACGGCUCACCAAGGCGACGACGGGUAGCCGGCCUGAGAGGGCGACCGGCCACACUGGGACUGAGACACGGCCCAGACUCCUACGGGAGGCAGCAGUGGGGAAUAUUGCACAAUGGGCGAAAGCCUGAUGCAGCGACGCCGCGUGAGGGAUGACGGCCUUCGGGUUGUAAACCUCUUUCAGCAGGGAAGAAGCGAAAGUGACGGUACCUGCAGAAGAAGCGCCGGUCUAUUUACUUGCCAGCAGCCGCGGUAAUACG
RNAcentral lists this ribosomal RNA (445 nucleotides) under Streptomyces sp. RNAcentral describes it as "bacterial SSU rRNA". It matches the Rfam family "Bacterial small subunit ribosomal RNA", at positions 68 to 527 of the family's 1533-position model. The record is from RNAcentral. Lineage: Bacteria; Bacillati; Actinomycetota; Actinomycetes; Kitasatosporales; Streptomycetaceae.